UUUUUCUUCAGACCGAUGCUUCGGACAAAGGAAUCUCCGGUAUACUGAGUCAGUGCGUGAAAGGUGUUCUGCAUCCCGUCAAGUAUGUGAGUCGCAAGUUGUUGCCUCGGGAGCAGAGGUAUUCCAUCAUCGAGAGAGAAGGCUUGGCUAUUGUAUUUGCCAUUAGAAAACUGGACAGAUACCUUAGGGGAACGACGUUUCACCUUCAGACAGACCACAAGGCCUUGGCUUACCUCCGGAGCACGAACUUUACGAACCACCGUGUUACGAGGUGGGCGCUGAUGCUCCAGGACUACAAUUUCGACGUGUGUCACAUAAAAGGAGAGGACAAUAUACUUGCAGACUUGUGCUCAAGACUGGUGUGAUUCGCACAAAAAGACUAUUUUAUUAUAGCUAUUGCUUGAUAUGUAUGAAUAUGUAUGUAAUAUGUACUGCUUGUUUUUAUUAUGCAUUGUAAUGUUAUAAUAGUUUAUGAUGGAUGUUGUUAUUUGCGACAUCAUCUAUGUAAAUAAUUCUGUAAUUUCAACUUUAUGAAGGUUGUAUUCUUCGGCUUCAAUGUUGGGCAAUGUUUCCUAAUUCCUUUUGCUGUCUAUAUACUUCAGUUUUCAAUUUCUUUUUUUGAAGACUGGACUUGUUUUCGCAAGAUCCAGUUAGAGGGAGAGGGGGGAUGUCGUGCGCAUCUGGUAGGGUAUUUUCGUUUGAACACCAUAAGGUCUUAUUAGUUCUGUUUCUAAGGAUGCGCUAUAUUGGUGUCAUUGUUCUUUUGUUGUGCCUUGAGAUGAGUCUCUUUGUGUUCUCUUGGUGUGCCUUGAGAUUGAGUUAUCUGUGUGGUGUUAUUCCCCAGUAUUGGGGACGCAGGCUUGGGACUCUGCUGGAGUCAAGUCUGAGUUGUAGGCUUUGUAGUUGACUAUUGCCCGUGGCGUUGGGUUGGCGUUGUGAAGCCUGAUUGACUAUGGCACUGAGAUUAAGGUGUGCUAUAGCCCUUUGAAUGUAAUCUGUAAUUGCCAUUGAUAUUUAUUCAUAAUGUAUGCCUCAUAAUAUCAUAUAUAUCAUUAACUCAUUAAACCUUUGUUGUUAUA
Molecule: long non-coding RNA, 1079 nt
Organism: Biomphalaria glabrata
Lineage: Eukaryota; Metazoa; Mollusca; Gastropoda; Planorbidae
Exons: 2
Source: RefSeq, a predicted model, not a curated record